This 460-nucleotide ribosomal RNA is filed under the name Streptococcus parasanguinis. Its description in RNAcentral is "bacterial SSU rRNA". It matches the Rfam family "Bacterial small subunit ribosomal RNA", at positions 28 to 472 of the family's 1533-position model. Lineage: Bacteria; Bacillati; Bacillota; Bacilli; Lactobacillales; Streptococcaceae. The record is from RNAcentral.
GAUGAACGCUGGCGGCGUGCCUAAUACAUGCAAGUAGAACGCUGAAGCUUGGUGCUUGCACCGAGCGGAUGAGUUGCGAACGGGUGAGUAACGCGUAGGUAACCUGCCUCUUAGCGGGGGAUAACUAUUGGAAACGAUAGCUAAUACCGCAUAAAAGUCGAUAUCGCAUGAUAUUGAUUUGAAAGGUGCAAUUGCAUCACUAAGAGAUGGACCUGCGUUGUAUUAGCUAGUUGGUGAGGUAACGGCUCACCAAGGCGACGAUACAUAGCCGACCUGAGAGGGUGAUCGGCCACACUGGGACUGAGACACGGCCCAGACUCCUACGGGAGGCAGCAGUAGGGAAUCUUCGGCAAUGGGGGCAACCCUGACCGAGCAACGCCGCGUGAGUGAAGAAGGUUUUCGGAUCGUAAAGCUCUGUUGUAAGAGAAGAACGAGUGUGAGAGUGGAAAGUUCACGCUGU